CCCGCUGAACUUAAGCAUAUCAAUAAGCGGAGGAAAAGAAACCAACAGGGAUUGCCCUAGUAACGGCGAGUGAAGCGGCAACAGCUCAAAUUUGAAAUCUGGCCUUCGGGUCCGAGUUGUAAUUUGUAGAGGAUGCUUUUGGUGAGGUGCCUUCCGAGUUCCCUGGAACGGGACGCCAUAGAGGGUGAGAGCCCCGUCUGGUUGGACACCGAUCCUCUGUAAAGCUCCUUUAACGAGUCGAGUAGUUUGGGAAUGCUGCUCUAAAUGGGAGGUAUAUGUCUUCUAAAGCUAAAUAUUGGCCAGAGACCGAUAGCGCACAAGUAGAGUGAUCGAAAGAUGAAAAGCACUUUGAAAAGAGAGUUAAAAAGUACGUGAAAUGUGAAAGGGGAAGCGCUCAUGACCAGACUUUGGGCUGGUUGAUCAUCCAGGGUUCUCCCUGGUGCACUCUCCAGUUUCAGGCCAGCAUCAGUUCGCUGCGGGGGAUAAAGGCUUUGGGAAUGUGGCUCCUUCGGGAGUGUUAUAGCCCAUUGUGUAAUACCCUGUGGUGGACUGAGGACCGCGCUUUUGCAAGGAUGCUGGCGUAAUGGUCAUCAGUGACCCGUCUUGAAACACGG
RNAcentral lists this ribosomal RNA (614 nucleotides) under uncultured fungus. Its description in RNAcentral is "eukaryotic LSU rRNA". It matches the Rfam family "Eukaryotic large subunit ribosomal RNA", at positions 24 to 664 of the family's 3401-position model. Lineage: Eukaryota; Fungi. The record is from RNAcentral.